GACAAAUGGCAGAGAUGCAAGCAAGAAUAUGCAGAAACCAACUUUACAGUGGAAAACUUGAACAGGAACAAAAAGAGAAGAAGGAAAAACUAUAUACCUAUGGCAGCUGAGAGGGAGGUUUCUGGUUUGAAUGGAAAGCUUGAGACCAGCUUGAUACCCUCGCUAAACUCACGAGACUGGAAAUAAUGAAUGUUUUCUGCUUUGUA
This 206-nucleotide long non-coding RNA is filed under the name Populus trichocarpa (black cottonwood). RNAcentral describes it as "long non-coding RNA (PTRI_LNC004575)". The record is from RNAcentral. Lineage: Eukaryota; Viridiplantae; Streptophyta; Magnoliopsida; Malpighiales; Salicaceae.